Molecule: long non-coding RNA, 2257 nt
Organism: Bombus huntii
Lineage: Eukaryota; Metazoa; Arthropoda; Insecta; Hymenoptera; Apidae
Exons: 2
Source: RefSeq, a predicted model, not a curated record
UGCUCUACGCCUUUUUGUACAUAGCAUUGUAUACCUCUGAGAUGUUGAAAGAAGCAUAAAAGGAGCAUAAAUACUAGGACAAAUACAGUCGUCGAUUCUGAGAAAUAUUUUCUUACGUGACGUGAUGAUACAAUGGAACUAUUUUCGAACAAAGAUUGACACAGCUCUGCAUCGUUUACUUCAAAGACACCAGGCAGAGGUUCACAAAGUUGGGGCGACCAGGAUUUUAGCGUAGAAAGUUACGACGGAAAUUUGCUUCGGUAAUAGACUGUUUAUACCGCGUGACUUGGAAAAUUUUAUACGUCGACGUCGACGUUCUUCACAGGUACGAUGCAAAUAGUUAUAAUAAUGGUAUUGAGGAAUCAUGGAUGAUAAAUGGUGGUACUUAGAAAAUUCAUAAAGUUUUGCACGUUGAUCUCGUAAAAAAGUACAAACUUCUAACUGUAGCCAAGUCUGUCGGAGUGAUAAACAUGCCAAAGCGACGAACUUUAUGUAGUGUUUCUUAUAGAAUUUGAUGUUGAAUUUGAUCGAACCAUGUAAUAGAAUUGAAAUAUUGAAUCUCAGUUUUCUAUCGACAAAUUUGUCUCAUUCAGUUAGUUAAAAAAUAUAUUCGAAAUUAACGUGUACACUCAGCGCCGAGUUAUUUCCGGCCAAUGUUAUAUCAAUUUGUAAUAAACGUUUCUUUUUACAUUUAUCAAGCAAGCUAUAAUAUACUAUUAACGUGCAAAUACUAUUUUUUCCAGGAACUAGCAUCGAAAUUUUGCACUCCGAGAACAUUUCAUAAAGAACUGUACAUUAAUUUCCUGUUCAAAUAUAUACACGUUUUACAUAUCAAUUGCGUUUUAGGAUUUUCACCAUAGUGUGAAUCUUCUCUGCAAACGUUUCAUCCUGACUUCGUGAUUAAUUUCUUUUUUUAGAUUUAUUUUGAAUUUAUCAGCUCUCAAAGAGACACGAGUAAAUAUCCAGUAAGAUCUAAUACAAUCUAAAAUUGAAUUUAAUCAUCGUAAAACGAUCGUGCGCGUAAUAAGAAACUUGAUUAAGAAUAAUUACGUCGAGUACACGGUUGGAGCUCAGUCCAUUAUUUUUCUUCUAUUAAACAUUCGAUAUAGCCACGUCCUUUGUUAAAUGAUGAUUAAUUAAAACGCAACACGGCAAAUGUUGGUAAUUAGCUAAUGUAGAGAGUCACAGCAUGUAACGAAUGGGAAAAAAGAAGAAUCUAAGGCAAAUGUUGCAAUCGAUGUAGAUGGAUAAACACAGUAGCGAUCGUAUUUAAUCGAGAAACAACCGGAAUACGGACGACAGGAACGAUUUUCCUUGUUCGUCGUCGCGGGAGGAUCUUAAUGAGGGAGGGCGUCUUAAUGGAAAAAGACACCGUUCAGAGGAGACGAUUUAGAAACUCGUAAAAAGGCGUGAAGCACUUGACAUCACGAAGCUGCAAAAAGAUCAUUUUCAGAGUCUUGUUGCGCAAUAAUUUAUCAAUUAAUAUAACUGAUAUUAAGCAAUCAACAACUUACACAUAAUAAGUGGUAGAUAUCUUCUUUACAAUUUUUGUUAUUUUACUUGCAACGCUUGUUACUUAUAAAAUGCCUAAUAACUUCUAAUUUCUAAUUUCUAAUAUUCUAUCGAAUAAUUUUCCAUAUUUUCGAUACUGGACAUAGUUUUAUGGUUGUUAGUAGUAAAUACUCUCGUGUAUAUGAGAAAGAACAGUCUGUGAUUCAUAAAUUUGCAACGAUGUAAAAAAUUUCAUUUUGCAAUUCUUCUACCUUUUAUCGUAACGAAUCGAAAAACAAUCGAUCAGCUAUCGAUAUUACAAACGCAUUAUCCGCUUACAAGCCUAUUUUAAACGACAUUUAAGGACAAAUAAGAAGCAUAAAGAAGCGAAAUAGAUUAUCGACGAUACGUUUAUACAAGGCAGUACGUGAAUGAAUACAUCAAGAUCGAUUAGUGACGCACGAGACUAAUAACUAUGUGUUUUUACAAAUGUGGGACACAAUUUCUGUGUCGUGGCUCGCCUUCCAUUUACGACGAUAUAAUCUUUAAUCGGAAUUUAUUGUUGAGAAUUCAUAGUUCACGGCCGAAUCGUUCUUGCCUUUGGUAGGUCGUGAUUCUCUAUUAAAGUUGAUGUGAAACGAUCAACCGAUGACAAUCGAAAUAAUAUCGCUCGUAAACUUUAAUAGUUUCAUUGAAUACUUUUUAUUUUUCAUUGAUCUUCGUUGUUUUUAAAUUUACGUUCUAUCACAGAAAAAACAGAAAACGA